GACGGACGCUGGCGGCGUGCUUAACACAUGCAAGUCGAACGGAAAGGCCUGCUUUCCCUUGUGGAUUGCGGGUACUCGGGUGGCGAACGGGUGAGUAACACGUGAGUGAUCUGCCCCCAACUUGGGUAUAAGCCUGGGAAACUGGGUCUAAUUCCCGAUAGGACUGCAGGGUGGUGCCUGUGGUGGAAAACGAUUUUCUAGUGGUUGGGGAUGAGCUCGCGGCCUAUCAGCUUGUUGGUGGGGUAAUGGCCUACCAAGGCGGCGACGGGUAGCCGGCCUGAGAGGGUGGACGGCCACAUUGGGACUGAGAUACGGCCCAGACUCCUACGGGAGGCAGCAGUGGGGAAUAUUGCACAAUGGGCGGAAGCCUGAUGCAGCGACGCCGCGUGGGGGAUGACGGCCUUCGGGUUGUAAACUCCUUUCGACCGCGAGGAAGCCACCUGGUUGGAAGGGUGGUGACGGUAGUGGUAGAAGAAGCACCGGCUAACUACGUG
This 494-nucleotide ribosomal RNA is filed under the name uncultured bacterium. Its description in RNAcentral is "partial 16S ribosomal RNA". It matches the Rfam family "Bacterial small subunit ribosomal RNA", at positions 28 to 507 of the family's 1533-position model. The record is from RNAcentral.